This 500-nucleotide ribosomal RNA is filed under the name uncultured bacterium. RNAcentral describes it as "partial 16S ribosomal RNA". It matches the Rfam family "Bacterial small subunit ribosomal RNA", at positions 30 to 523 of the family's 1533-position model. The record is from RNAcentral.
AUUGAACGCUGGCGGCAUGCCUUACACAUGCAAGUCGAACGGCAGCACGGGAGCAAUCCUGGUGGCGAGUGGCGAACGGGUGAGUAAAGUAUCGGAACGUGCCCAGUCGUGGGGGAUAACGUAGCGAAAGUUACGCUAAUACCGCAUACGAUCUAUGGAUGAAAGCGGGGGAUCGCAAGACCUCGCGCGAUUGGAGCGGCCGAUAUCAGAUUAGGUAGUUGGUGGGGUAAGGGCUCACCAAGCCGACGAUCUGUAGCUGGUCUGAGAGGACGACCAGCCACACUGGGACUGAGACACGGCCCAGACUCCUACGGGAGGCAGCAGUGGGGAAUUUUGGACAAUGGGCGAAAGCCUGAUCCAGCCAUGCCGCGUGCAGGAUGAAGGCCUUCGGGUUGUAAACUGCUUUUGUACGGAACGAAAAAGUUUGGCCUAAUAAGCUGAGCUCAUGACGGUACCGUAAGAAUAAGCACCGGCUAACUACGUGCCAGCCGCCGCCGUAA